GACGAACGCUGGCGGCGUGCUUAACACAUGCAAGUCGAACGGAAAGGCCCUGCUUUUGUGGGGUGCUCGAGUGGCGAACGGGUGAGUAACACGUGAGUAACCUGCCCUUGACCUUGGGAUAACUUCAGGAAACUGGGGCUAAUACCGGAUAGGAGCUCCUGCUGCAUGGUGGGGGUUGGAAAGUUUCGGCGGUUGGGGAUGGACUCGCGGCUUAUCAGCUUGUUGGUGGGGUAGUGGCUUACCAAGGCUUUGGCGGGUAGCCGGCCUGAGAGGGUGACCGGCCACAUUGGGACUGAGAUACGGCCCAGACUCCUACGGGAGGCAGCAGUGGGGAAUAUUGCACAAUGGGCGGAAGCCUGAUGCAGCAACGCCGCGUGCGGGAUGACGGCCUUCGGGUUGUAAACCGCUUUCGCCUGUGACGAAGCGUGAGUGACGGUAAUGGGUAAAGAAGCACCGGCUAACUACGUG
This 468-nucleotide ribosomal RNA is filed under the name uncultured bacterium. Its description in RNAcentral is "partial 16S ribosomal RNA". It matches the Rfam family "Bacterial small subunit ribosomal RNA", at positions 28 to 507 of the family's 1533-position model. The record is from RNAcentral.